AGCGAACGCUGGCGGCAGGCUUAACACAUGCAAGUCGAACGCCCCGCAAGGGGAGUGGCAGACGGGUGAGUAACACGUGGGAACGUACCCUUUGGUUCGGAAUAACUUGGGGAAACUCAAGCUAAUACCGGAUAAGCCCUUAUGGGGAAAGGUUUACUGCCGAAGGAUCGGCCCGCGUCUGAUUAGCUAGUUGGUGAGGUAAUGGCUCACCGAGGCGACGAUCAGUAGCUGGUCUGAGAGGAUGAUCAGCCACACUGGGACUGAGACACGGCCCAGACGCCACCGGGAGGAAGCAGUGGGGAAUAUUGGACAAUGGGGGCAACCCUGACCCAGCCAUGCGGCGUGAGUGAUGAAGGCCUUAGGGUUGUAAAGCUCUUUUACCCGGGACGAUAAUGACUGUACCGGGAGAAUAAGCCCCGGCUAACUUCGUGCCAGCAGCCGCGGUAA
This 447-nucleotide ribosomal RNA is filed under the name uncultured bacterium. Its description in RNAcentral is "partial 16S ribosomal RNA". It matches the Rfam family "Bacterial small subunit ribosomal RNA", at positions 29 to 523 of the family's 1533-position model. The record is from RNAcentral.